CUGAGAACUUGCCCUUAUGGGUAGAUCUCCCACCCCAUGCUUACAUACUUUGUUGCUUUGGCAGGCCUGCCUUUGUGCUACCGGCCUUGGCUGGUUUGUGCCUGCCAGAGAACCAACACUCUGAAUCAUUGUCGUCUGAGUACUAUCUAAUAGUUA
This 156-nucleotide unclassified non-coding RNA is filed under the name uncultured Helotiales. RNAcentral's name for it is "sequence contains ITS1". Lineage: Eukaryota; Fungi; Ascomycota; Leotiomycetes; Helotiales. The record is from RNAcentral.